UACGGGGGAGCAAGCGUUGUUCGGAUUUACUGGGCGUAAAGGGCGCGUAGGCGGCCACCGCAAGUCGACUGUGAAAUCUCCGGGCUUAACCCGGAAAGGUCAGCCGAUACUGCGGGGCUAGAGUGCAGAAGGGGCAACUGGAAUUCUCGGUGUAGCGGUGGAAAUGCGUAGAUAUCGAGAGGAACACCUGCGGCGAAGGCGGGUUGCUGGGCUGACACUGACGCUGAGGCGCGAAAGCUAGGGGAGCGAACGGG
RNAcentral lists this ribosomal RNA (254 nucleotides) under uncultured bacterium. Its description in RNAcentral is "partial 16S ribosomal RNA". It matches the Rfam family "Bacterial small subunit ribosomal RNA", at positions 524 to 776 of the family's 1533-position model. The record is from RNAcentral.